Molecule: transfer RNA, 74 nt
Filed under: Blattella germanica (German cockroach)
Lineage: Eukaryota; Metazoa; Arthropoda; Insecta; Blattodea; Blattellidae
Description: tRNA-Ile (TAT) (tRNA-Ile-TAT-13-1)
Rfam family: tRNA
About the family: Transfer RNA (tRNA) molecules are approximately 80 nucleotides in length.
Source: RNAcentral
UCCCCAGUGGCGCAAUUGGUUAGCGCACGGUACUUAUAAUGCCGUGGUUGUGAGUUCGAGCCUCACCUGGGGGA